This 185-nucleotide non-coding RNA is filed under the name Gammaproteobacteria bacterium. RNAcentral describes it as "6S RNA". It matches the Rfam family "6S / SsrS RNA". Rfam says of the family: E. coli 6S RNA was the first non coding RNA to be sequenced, but its function was unknown until recently. The record is from RNAcentral. Lineage: Bacteria; Pseudomonadati; Pseudomonadota; Gammaproteobacteria.
UUUCCCCUGCGGAGUGCGUCAGUAGGCCGAGAUAUCCUUGAGCCUAUUUACCACAACCUUGGGGACAAAACGGCGGUGUUGUUGAGCAUGUCCACCGCACAGUGGAAAGCCUGAUACGCUGCCUGUUGUUCCCACUUGAACCUUUGGUUCAAGAUGAAGGUCUGCAACGGCUCUGCGGGGGAAAC